CAGUCGCCGCGGGAAUACGUAGGGUGCGAGCGUUAAUCGGAAUUACUGGGCGUAAAGCGUGCGCAAGCGGUUCGUUAAGACAGAUGUGAAAUCCCCGGGCUUAACCUGGGAACUGCAUUUGUGACUGGCGAGCUAGAGUAUGGCAGAGGGGGGUAGAAUUCCACGUGUAGCAGUGAAAUGCGUAGAGAUGUGGAGGAAUACCGAUGGCGAAGGCAGCCCCCUGGGCCAAUACUGACGCUCAUGCACGAAAGCGUGGGGAACAAACAGGAUUAGAUACCCGUGUAGUCCCUGUCUCUUAUAC
RNAcentral lists this ribosomal RNA (301 nucleotides) under uncultured bacterium. RNAcentral's name for it is "partial 16S ribosomal RNA". It matches the Rfam family "Bacterial small subunit ribosomal RNA", at positions 509 to 807 of the family's 1533-position model. The record is from RNAcentral.